This 329-nucleotide unclassified non-coding RNA is filed under the name soil metagenome. Its description in RNAcentral is "partial contains 5.8S ribosomal RNA, internal transcribed spacer 2, and large subunit ribosomal RNA". The stretch from base 1 to 120 matches the Rfam family "5.8S ribosomal RNA", at positions 35 to 154 of the family's 154-position model. The record is from RNAcentral.
GAUGAAGAACGCAGCGAAAUGCGAUAAGUAAUGUGAAUUGCAGAAUUCAGUGAAUCAUCGAAUCUUUGAACGCACAUUGCGCCCCCUGGUAUUCCGGGGGGCAUGCCUGUCCGAGCGUCAUUACAACCCUCAAGCUCAGCUUGGUGUUGGGCCCCGCCGCCCCGGCGGGCCCUAAAGCCAGUGGCGGUGCCGUCCGGCUCCGAGCGUAGUAAUUCUUCUCGCUCUGGAGGUCCGGUCGUGUGCUCGCCAGCAACCCCCAAUUUUUUUCAGGUUGACCUCGGAUCAGGUAGGGAUACCCGCUGAACUUAAGCAUAUCAAUAAGCGGAGGA